UGAGCAACCUACCGAACUGUGGGGGAUAGCCGGCCUAACGGCCGAGUAAUACCGCAUACGCUCUCAGGGAGGCAUUUCUUUGAGAGGAAACCUACGGGACAGAUCGAGGGGCUCGCGGCCUAUCAGCUAGUUGGCGAGGUAACGGCUCACCAAGGCAACGACGGGUAGCUGGUCUGAGAGGAUGGCCAGCCACAUUGGGACUGAGAUACGGCCCAGACUCCGUACGGGAGNAGCG
RNAcentral lists this ribosomal RNA (235 nucleotides) under uncultured bacterium. RNAcentral describes it as "partial 16S ribosomal RNA". It matches the Rfam family "Bacterial small subunit ribosomal RNA", at positions 118 to 347 of the family's 1533-position model. The record is from RNAcentral.